Molecule: transfer RNA, 32 nt
Filed under: Linum macraei subsp. macraei
Lineage: Eukaryota; Viridiplantae; Streptophyta; Magnoliopsida; Malpighiales; Linaceae
Description: partial tRNA-Leu
Source: RNAcentral
AAAAUCCGUCGACUUUAGAAAUCGGGUCCCCC